Molecule: long non-coding RNA, 1120 nt
Filed under: Fukomys damarensis (Damara mole-rat)
Lineage: Eukaryota; Metazoa; Chordata; Mammalia; Rodentia; Bathyergidae
Description: lncRNA (ENSFDAG00000032010.1)
Source: RNAcentral
GUUUUGUUUUGUUUUUGUUUUUGUUUGGAGACAAGGUCUUGCUGUGCCUUCCGGCUGGCCUGGAACUCCCGGCCAUUCUCCUGCCUCAGCUUCGGGAGGGCUUGGACCACAGGCGUGCACCACCACGCCCUGCAAGGACCAUAUUCCCAACUCAGCAGGUCUCAGAGUGUUCUGGGCCCCUCGUGUCCGCGGCGGACAGGCUGUAUUUCCCGGCGCAAGGGCACAGCGGCUCCCGCAGCAUUGCGGCGCUGUUUCCAGAGCGCAGAGGAGGGAGACGCCGAAGUGCAGAUCAACGCCACCUGGCGCUGCAAGCUCCGCUCCAGCUCCUGUCGCGAGCACUCAGGCUGCUUAAGGCCCUGCUGCUCAGUCUGCAGAGUCUUGGGUGGCUCUCAGUGCCACGUGACAGGAACGACAAGAAAAGACCUGUGCGAUGACAGCAAGCUGUUCCCGAGAUCCAGCACUUGUUGCAGUUUUCAAGGCACAUGGAAAAGGCUGCUUCUACAGCACCCCAUCUGGAGCCACAGGUUUGACUCCAAAACUCUCCGCCCCGCAAGCCAAGCGCACCCCAUAAUGGGUGCUCCAUGUGAGAUCGCUGGCCCCAUGUUACAGGUGUAAGAGCCUGAGUAUUUUUUUAUUAAGACUAGUUCAUCAUCAAAAAUUGUCUCCUGUUCCAGCUCUUCUGCUGCCCCCAUUGUGGCUUCCCUCACCUUCCAACUUGCCCAAGGUUGGCUCCAGAAGUUCACUACAGUCCUGUUUGAAGACUUUCCUAACUUCCGUAACACCCACCCCCACCAAGCAUUUCAAAUAUUUCAGGCUCAUGUCAUCAAUCUACCAGCUGCCGGGAUCUUCUGAGUCUCUCCUCGAUGAUACCUGGUUCUCUCUGAUCUGGUCCAGUUUUUCAGGAUCUAUAAUAACAACCUGUUUUUGCUUUCUGCAGGCUGAAGUCAAGGCAAGCAAGUUUUGCAUGAACUCUUCUCGUGGACCCUCCGUGAGACCCACACAGGUGAGUGCACAGACGCCUGUCAGCAUGUUUUCUGUCUGACGUCUCCACUGGGCUUUCAGAAUAGUAGCAGAACUGACUGCUGGCGAGGCUGGCCUCUUGAAUCUGGUGUUCAACGGC